AGCUCCAAUAGCGUAUAUUAAAGUUGUUGCAGUUAAAAAGCUCGUAGUUGGAUUUCUGGUUGAAACGACCGGUCCGCCUGCAUUAGCGGGUGCGUACUUGUGUGGUUUUGUCCAUUUUUUGUGAGGAUGUCUUUCUGCCAUUAAGUUGGUGGGUUGAUGGACUUGCAUCGUUUACUGUGAAAAAAUUAGAGUGUUUAAAGCAGGCGUUUGCCUAUUUUUGAAUACAUUAGCAUGGAAUAAUAAGAUACGACCUUGGUGGUCUAUUUUGUUGGUUUGCACACCAGGGUAAUGAUUAAUAGGGACAGUUGGGGGUAUUCAUAUUUCAGCGUCAGAGGUGAAAUUCUUGGAUCGCUGAAAGAUGAGCUUAGGCGAAAGCAUUUACCAAGGAUGUUUUCAUUA
This 399-nucleotide ribosomal RNA is filed under the name Myzocytiopsis sp. RNAcentral describes it as "partial small subunit ribosomal RNA". It matches the Rfam family "Eukaryotic small subunit ribosomal RNA", at positions 587 to 975 of the family's 1831-position model. The record is from RNAcentral. Lineage: Eukaryota; Oomycota; Myzocytiopsidales; Myzocytiopsidaceae.